AGUGUGGUGAACUGAACAGUGGCCCCAAAGAUAUCCAGGUCCUGAUCUCUGGAACCUGCGAAUAUUACCUUACUUGGCAAAAGAGACCUUAGGUGACUAAGGAUAUGGACCUUGAGAUGGGGCCAUUAUCCUGGAGUUUCUGGGUGGACCCUAAAUGUAAUCACAAAGAUCCUCCUAAGAAGGAGGCAGAGUGGGAUAUGACAACAAAAGAGGUGAAGGAAUUUGACUAUGGCAGCAGAGAUUUGAAUGGUUGAUUUGUGGGCAGCUACCAGAAACUGGAAGAAACAAGCAGAAGUUUCUUCCCUGGGGCCUCCGGAAGAAACCAGUCCUGCUGACACCUUGAUUUUGGCUCUGUAAGACUCUGGCCUCCAGCCUCCUGGACUUCUGGCCUCCAGAACAUAACGUUGAUGGGAAGUGGAGACAGAGGGCAUCCUGACCUUGUCUUGUUCCUGAUUGUGGUAGCCGGCCUCCAAGGUGGCCCCCGAGCAUCCUUGCCUACCUGUGAGGACAUUUUAGGACAUAAAAGGCGUAGUGGCAUCUGUCUCUCUCUCUUGGAAACUAGUUCUAGGGGGAACCAGCCGUCAUCUUGUGAGGAGAGGUCCACGUUGUGAGAAGCCGAGGACUCCGGCGAGUACAGCCCUGAGGCCUCCUGCUAACAGCCACAGGAGCGACUCUGAAGAUCCUCCAGCCCAGACGAGCCUUCAGAUGCCUGCGUCCCAGCUGACUUCUGGACGGCAGCCCAAUGAAAGACCCAGAGCCACCCAGUUAAGUACUGCCGAGUUCCUGAUGCACAGAAUCCAUGAGAUAAUACAGGCUUGUUGUUUUAAUCCACUAGGUGUUGAGGUAAUUUGCUACACAGCAAUAAAUCACUGAUCUCAAAGGAAACAUUUUCAGCAUUUCACCACUAACAAGAUGUUUGCUGUUCGUGCUUGGGAGGCCCCCUUCAUCGUAUUAAGAAAGUCUUGUUUAUUCCUCGUUUGCUAAGAGUUUAGUGUAUCAUAAAUGGAUGCUGAAUUUUAUUGAAUAUCUCUCCUGUAGCUAAUGAGAUGAUCUAUGGUUUUGCUUGUUUGGUUUGUUAAUGUGGUAAAUUCAUUAACUGAUAUUUUUUUAAAGUUAAACUUAGCUUGUAUUGCUAAAAUAAUAUUAUAAGCACAACCUGGACAUGGUGAAUCAUUCUUUUUUAUAUAUUGCUAGAUUCAACUUCCUAAUAUUUUGUUUAGAAUUUUUGUCAUUGUUCGUGAAUGAGAUUUACCUGUAAUUUUUCUUCCUCAUAUUGUCUUCCUCAGGCUUUUGUAUCAAGAUUAUGUAUUUAGGGGCCGGCCUGGUGGCGCAGCGGUUAAGUUUGCCCAUUCUUCUUUGGUGGCCCAGAGUUCGCUGGUUUGGAUCCCAGGUGCGGACAUGGCGCUGCUUGUUAAGCCAUGCUGUGGCAGGCGUCCCACAUAUAAAGUAGAGGAAGAUGGGCACGAUGUUAGCUCAGGGCUGGUCUUCCUCAGCAAAAAGAGGAGAUUUGGUGGCAGAUGUUAGCUCAGGGCUAAUAUUCCUCAAAAAAACAAACAAAAAAUUAUGUAUUUUGUGGUUUUUAUGAUGUAGUCAAUCUUGUGCAGCCACAAAAGGAGACAGAAGAGAGGCUCAGGAAAAGAAAGUUUAUUAAAUAACUCACAGGUCCUAGAGACAAGAAGCACACGGGAAGGACACCAGGGUGGUGAGGGGAAGACAGUGGGGUAGAGGGAGAUUUGGGUCACAGCCUUUAUGGGGGUUUCUUCAGGAAAGGGCAGGCAGGGCAGGGUGAACAAUUUAAGACUGGUUAUUUUGAAUAAUUUCAGCUGGCUUUGGGCUAUUGGGGUGGUUCCUAGUUGCCUGGCACCUGGCCCUGGGAGGAUUAAGAGAGAGGAAUAUUGCCUCCUGGGGGGCAAGAAAAGAUAGAGGCGGUAUGGCUCUGGACUGUGCCCUCGGCUGUCUCUAAGAAUUGUCUCUCUCUGGCCAGAAAGGUUUUUUUUAGGAUGUCAAAACAAUAUAUAGAAAAAAUUUUAAAUAUACAUUUACAAUACAUUGUACCAUAUACAAUACAUUGUAUGCAUAGUAUAAUACUAGCCUCAAUAUGAGUUGGCAAAUGUAAUUACUUCUGUUCUCUGAAAGAGUUUGUGUAGAGAGACCUCAUUUCUUCUGUAAAUGUUUGAUACAAGCCGUUGAUGAAGCCGUGUGGGCCCGGAACACGCUUUGGGGGAAAUUUUUGGCUAUGUUUCAAUUCUUUUAAGUUGUUGGUCUCUUCAGAAUUCCUGUUUCUUCUUGGAUAAAAUGUUGUGAAUUGUCUUUUUCCCCCUGGGGAAUUUAUCCGUUUCGUAAAAAUUUUCAAAUGCUUCAGCAUCAAGUUCAUAAUGUCCCCUUGGUUUCUUUUUAGGUUCUGCAAGGGCUAUAGUAAUGCCCUGUUUUUCAUUCCUGAUAGGGUUCAUUUGUGCCUUCUCUUUCUUUUUUUGUUUUUCAUCUCACCGAAGGUUUAUAAAUUUCAGUAGUCUUCUCAAAGUAUCAACAUGCGUUUUAUUUUUAUUCUAUUUUGUGUAUGUUUUCAAUUAUCUUUGUUAUUUCCUUCUUUCUAAUUUCAUCAAGUUUAAUUUGCUAUUCUUUUUCUACUUUUUUGAUGCAUGUUUAGUUCAUUAAUUUUCAGCUUUUCUUCUUUUCUAAAGUAACUAUGUAAGGCUAUAAAUUUCCCUCAAAAGAACAGCUUGUAUCCAACACUUUUUGAUGUGUAAUAUUUUUAAAUUAUUGUGUUCAGACUUCUAAAUUUCAUUAUAAUUUCUGCUUUGACCCAUCGAUUAUUUAGAAGUAUAUUGUUUUAUUUCCAAACAUAUGGGGUUUUCUAGCUAUCCUUUUGUUUUAGAUUUCUAGCAUAAUUGCAGCAUGGCUAAAGAAUAAAUUCUGAAUGACUUCAAUCCUUUGGACUUGUUGAAACUAGCUUUAUGGCUUAGUAUAUGGGUGAUUAUUGUAGAAACUAUAUAUUUGUUUGAAAAGAAUGUGUAUUUUGCAGUUUUUCAGGUAUAAUAUUCUAUACAUUUAUUUGGUAAAAUUAGUUAAUAGUGUUAUAUAAAUCUCCUAGAUCUUUACCGAUUUUCUUUUCUACUGAAAGAGUGUGUGAAAAUCUCCACUACAAUCAGCUAUUUGUUUAUUUUAAUUUUUGCUUUGAAUACAUUGAGGUCAUGUUAUUAGUGCAACAAAUUCAGACUUGUUUUAUCUUCC
Long non-coding RNA from Equus asinus (donkey), 3231 nucleotides. NCBI's taxonomy places the organism in Eukaryota, Metazoa, Chordata, Mammalia, Perissodactyla, Equidae. The record is from Ensembl.